Bos taurus (domestic cattle) is the source of this 501-nucleotide long non-coding RNA. Lineage: Eukaryota; Metazoa; Chordata; Mammalia; Artiodactyla; Bovidae. The record is from Ensembl.
UCGCUAAGAGUCGGACACGACUGAGCGCCUUCACUUUCACUUUUCACGUUCAUGCAUUGGAGAAGGAAAUGGCAACCCACUCCAGUGUUCUUGCCUGGAGAAUCCCAGGGAUGGGGGAGCCUGGUGGGCUGCCGUCUAUGGGGUCGCACAGAGUUGGACAUGACUGAAAGGACUUAGCAGCAGCAGCAGCAGGAGCCCUCUAAGAGUAAGCAAACUCCAUUCUCUUCCAAAGAAAAUGAGCCAACGGACUCAAAUGCAUGUGAAAGAUAAGAUAAAGCCCUUGAUUAGGAGGAUUCCAAAAGCAGGCUUGACUGAUCCAGGCCUGGCCAUGGAAACCUCUCAUGCAUACAUGCUUCUAGCUGGUUGGGAAGGAGGCAGCCACAUGGUGAAGAUGAUGACACUUUCUUCAGCCUGAGCUCUACAUGACUGCUUGAAGGAGAGUCAACCCAAGAACAUGCUCACCUGCUCAGGAUUGUGACGUGAACAAGAAUUAUAUUUCUA